CCGGCCUUAGCUCAGUUGGAAGAGCAUCAGACUGUAAUUGGCUUACGUAAACAUACAUCUGGGUGUCGCCUGUUCGAACCAGGCAGGCCGGA
Coprinopsis sp. MPI-PUGE-AT-0042 is the source of this 92-nucleotide non-coding RNA. The record is from the annotation of a GenBank genome assembly. NCBI's taxonomy places the organism in Eukaryota, Fungi, Basidiomycota, Agaricomycetes, Agaricales, Psathyrellaceae.